GAUGAACGCUGACAGAAUGCUUAACACAUGCAAGUCAACUUGAACUUCGGUUUGGGUGGCGGACGGGUGAGUAACGCGUAAAGAACUUGCCUCACAGAUAGGGACAACAUUUGGAAACGAAUGCUAAUACCUGAUAUUAUGAUUAUAUGGCAUCGUAUAAUUAUGAAAGCUAUAUGCGCUGUGGGAGAGCUUUGCGUCCCAUUAGCUAGUUGGAGAGGUAACGGCUCACCAAGGCGAUGAUGGGUAGCCGGCCUGAGAGGGUGAUCGGCCACAAGGGGACUGAGACACGGCCCUUACUCCUACGGGAGGCAACAGUGGGGAAUAUUGGACAAUGGACCAAGAGUCUGAUCCAGCAAUUCUGUGUGCACGAUGAAGUUUUUCGGAAUGUAAAGGGCUUUCAGUUGGGAAGAAAAAAAUGACGGUACCAACAGAAGAAGUGACGGCUAAAUACGUG
This 454-nucleotide ribosomal RNA is filed under the name uncultured bacterium. RNAcentral's name for it is "partial 16S ribosomal RNA". It matches the Rfam family "Bacterial small subunit ribosomal RNA", at positions 28 to 507 of the family's 1533-position model. The record is from RNAcentral.